RNAcentral lists this ribosomal RNA (253 nucleotides) under uncultured bacterium. RNAcentral describes it as "partial 16S ribosomal RNA". It matches the Rfam family "Bacterial small subunit ribosomal RNA", at positions 524 to 776 of the family's 1533-position model. The record is from RNAcentral.
UACGAAGGGGGCUAGCGUUGUUCGGAAUUACUGGGCGUAAAGCGUGCGUAGGCGGUUCGUUAAGUUCGUUGUGAAAGCCCCGGGCUCAACCUGGGAACUGCCUUUGAUACUGUCGAUCUGGAGUAUGGAAGAGGUGAGUGGAAUUCCGAGUGUAGAGGUGAAAUUCGUAGAUAUUCGGAGGAACACCAGUGGCGAAGGCGGCUCACUGGUCCAUUACUGACGCUGAGGUGCGAAAGCGUGGGGAGCAAACAGG